CUCGAAAAAUUAAAUAAAUAAAUAAAUAAAUUAAUUAAUUAAUUUUAUGAAACAGUUAAAUGACUCCUCUGUUCCUUUUAACGGAUUAUGAUAAGUUCAUUCUCAGAAACGGAACAUAUGAUCUUGAUUUCCAUUCAAACUGUGGACUCAGUGAAUUUUCCAUAUGAUCUUUGGCAGAUUACUGACUCUAUUUUCUCUUUUCUUUAUCUACCAUAAUGCCCAGACAUUUUAUCUUCCUUGAAGGGAGUUUAUUAAAACUGCUGAUGAGGCUAAUGAAAAUAUAGACAUCCUUACAGAGAAAUUUCAUUUUUGGUCACCAUUUAAUUUUGCUGCUACACACCCAAUGUGUCCGGGACUGGAUUUUAUAGAAUUUCUAUUUAAUUGCAUUAGUAGAAAAGCUAAAAAGCUGCUUCUCUGUAUGUGUCCAUACUUCUUGUAUAAAUGUCACAUGAGAGAUAAAUUCUGAAAGCCAUUAAACACAUAGUUUCACAUAACUCUUACAGCUUCUCAUCAGUAAGGAAUCUGUCUCAUCACGUGAGUGCCCACGAUUUGCAUGGAAGAGAAUAAGCCUGGGUUUUCAGUUUCCUUGAGAAAAAGAAAGUGCCCCAAGAUGACUGGCAGUUCCUGCCUCAUCAGGGAUGUCUACAUUUGAAAACAAGGCCUCUUUGAAAUCUGAGACUGGAAAAUGAUUCCUGAUGACCUUUCCCAUCUCUCUUUGAUUCUUAGCCAAACACAGAGGAAAAGUCACAAAGCAGCCUACUAUAUAUACCUUCUUUCAAAUGACUCUCUUUGUCUAAGAACCACACUGUAGGGGCAGGCCUGGAAAGGAUGUCAGAUGGCCCAGCGUUGUGUUAUAAUGUACAGGGGGCAGGCCUCUGAUACAAAAAUCAAACCAGUGUUCGUGACCAGGAGGUUCCCCUCUGCACCAUCUCAGAGGAAGCAUCUGUGAUGCUUACAAGUGCCUGGAUAUCAGUGCAAGUGAUUUCAGAAGAUUGCCUACUGUGGAAAAUUGUAGUCAGCUGAGAUGGAGAGAGAAGACCAUUCAGCCCAAGGAGUGCAGGGCAGAGAUAGACGUCAUUACCUGAGUGGUGUGACUGUCCCUGUGUCUCUGAAAUGUCGAAGUCCCCGUGCCACUUACAGACAACC
Long non-coding RNA from Cercocebus atys (sooty mangabey), 1146 nucleotides. RefSeq lists it as uncharacterized. Lineage: Eukaryota; Metazoa; Chordata; Mammalia; Primates; Cercopithecidae. The record is from RefSeq and is a predicted model, not a curated record. The transcript has 4 exons.